CGGUGGUCGUGUGCCUCCCUCGGGUAUGCCUCCCACCAUCAACACCAACUCCCUCAUUCAGUUCAAUCGGACAUGCAUUGCCGCUGUCCGCUUCUCUCGUUUUCCUCUUCUCCUCUCUUGAUAGCCACACUUCCGCGCGUUCUUGUCGUUGAGCUUGUGCGCGCGUGUGCCGCUGCUUCCCUUAGUCUUUGUCCCCCCCCGGCUAUACCCGCUCGCCCGCCCCUCGCUUUCCUUGCUGCCGCUGCCGCCGCUUUUUCGACCGCCCAAGCGGCCAGUGUGGUGCUCGCGCCUCCCCGGGCCCACUGCCAAACACCGAAAACAGUGACACGUUUUCGGUCUUUUCUUUCGCCUCCUUUUUUUUAGUGCACCCCACCCUCUCUGGCCUCCGUACGCUCCGCGACUUCUUCGCACCCACCCUUUCCUUCUCUCGUGCGUCUGCCUACCCAAACACCACGCCGCACGCCUUCAUCUCUGUGUGCGUCCGUCAACAUAGAAACAGCCACGGACAAAGAAGAGGCGAGCAACGACGACGACGACGGAGGUGCAGUUGGUUCAUGUAAGGGGGUGAGGGAAUGAAUGCCAACGGUGACGAUGCAGACAACGCCGCGGCGCCUAGUCAAGGUCCGCGUCGCGUCGAAGCGCAGCAUGCCUGGCGGGGUGCGGUGCCCACAGAUGCAAGGAGAUCGGAUGCCUCAGCGGCGUUGCUAAAGACAAUACCAGAAUCGAUGGCGGCUGUUCUGUCCCCGCCAGCGCUCGUGCCGCUGCCAGCAACGGCGGCAAGUGCAAGCUCGCCGGAGAUGGGCACGAUUGCAGCCUUCUUUCCUCAGUCUACAGCGCCCCCCUCCGGCGUCUCGGACCGCGAAGCGGAUGAUAGUGGCGAGAGCAGCGCUAUCGCUAGCGCUGCAACGCCGCAGCGAAGGCGAACAGGCACCCAGGAGUGUGCCCUCAAUGCUGGCCACCGCGGCGGCUCCUCUGACCCAUCGCACCGCGCACCGCGCGCCCUCUCAGCUGGCAGGACGCCACAGCAACUCUUGCCCAACUCGGAGAGCGGCAGGGACCUCUCCUUCAUGCCCACUAGCGGUGAUGCCAUUCCGGCUUUCAGAGCUUGCCCAGGCACGGCCAGCUGCUGUGCUGGCCCGGUCACUGGGCCACUGGAAAUCCUCUCUGCAUCUACUGCGCUGACAAAACUAGGGUCUGCCUCAACGCCCCCUUUAACAUCGAGAUCGUUGCUCUCCGCGCUGCACAUCGUGAACGCGUCCACGAUGCCUGACACCCCUCUCAGCGACACACGUGCCCACCACGACACGGCUGUGGAGGGCACGCCACCGAUAGCGCCGGCAGUCCACGUUAACGGGCGGCCAGCAACACCACAGCAUAAUCAGGAGCGGCAUCAGCGACCAUUCCACACAGCCGAUCCGCAGCCUACGGCACCGGAUGCGGGCGCCGCAGGGGCGGCGAUGCCUGACACGCCAGGUCAAUGGCGGCUAUCGCAGAUGCAGUACCCAGGCCUGCAUCUAGAGCAGCGCCCCAGCCGCUUCCUCACAUCGACUCAUAAUGUAGAUGCCGCCGUGCCUCGGAUGACGGACCACAUGCUCGUCAACGCGGAGUUUUCCGCCAUGCAACUCCUGCCGGAGCGACGGGUCGAGUUGCCGAGCCGCGACACGGAAGCCGGUGGCGGUGUCGGCCGAACCGGCCCCGAAGCGCACCUACAGCAGCGAGCAAUUCGCAAUUCGGAGUCGGAGGCAGGCAUUGGCUGGCACGAUGCUGCCCAUCUCACGCCCCUCUUCCGCGCCAUUCCACCGGUGACUAGCACGUCAUUGACAGGGGCUGCGUUUCUGCAGCAGGUGCGCAUCGCCACCUCUGAGGAGCGUCGCGUGCGUCUUUUGUUCCACACUCGGCCGCGUAUCCGGCUGAGGGAUCGUCCGCGGAUUGUGACGAACCCGGUGCUCGACCGGCCAGGGUGGGUGCAGCCGCUGUGCUACCCUACUCUCUGGAUACCGUGCAUGCGCAACACCAUCUACUCGAUACCGCUAAGCACAGUGAUGCGGGCGCCAUGGGAGACGGACUUCUUCGGUUCAGCGCAGCCAAGCGUUGCGUUCUCGGCUUCCGAGACGUCGGUGCUGCCCGGCGAGCAGCCGCGACCCGACUUCAGCGGGGCUGCCCACGGCGGGUCGCGCGCAUUGGGCGCCCCGCUGACGACCGCCAUGCCGACUGCCCCAGCUUUCUACCACGUACCCAUCACGGCGCCGCGGCUAGCGCAGUCAAGUGCGCACAAUCACCGUGCUGAUAGUGAGCUCCUUCUUCACCGUAUGCCAGCCCCGCCGUCGUUGAACCCGCUGAGCGGCAUCGGUGAACGCGCAGCGGCUAACUCGCACGGCGAGCUGCUCAUCUCCAGCAUCGAGACGGCCAGCCGGCCGGUGCGGUUCGCCCACAAUUGUAGUCACCUGCUGUACCGCUGCUUCUGUGUGCGGUGCGCCAUCGCUUCCCAGAUGCAGGCGCUGCAGGCGGACGCCGAGAUACGCGGCGCUAAGAUGACACUGUUUCCGUCCUGCACCUGUCUGGGGGUGGAGUCCGAGUCGCACACCGAAAUCUUGUCCACGCUGUGUCUCCUCGACCUCUUCACGCUGGGCGCUCCGUUUGGUUGCUGCUGCUAUCAUGGACUUGGCUCCGCCUUGUACGGGUGGCACCUGCGCUACAUGCUGCGUGCGCGGUAUCGCAUCUUCGCGUGGACGUCAAUUGACCUACUCAUCAUGUGCUGCAUCCCUGGCCUUGCGCUGGAUCAGCAGGGGGCGGAGCUGUUGCUCAACGGCACGCCCGAGGCCACCGUAGGACUGCAGUUUAUGGCUUAGUGGGCCCUAGGAGGGGGGGGCGAAGCGCGAGCGGGCGCAAUCAUGCCCUGCUUCUCACUCCCCCCUCCUCUCGUGCAGUGCGCACCUGUACACAUGCAUGCGUGUGACCAUCGAGAGGUGCGGCUCACCCUCGAAUAAGACAACGACAUGUGUGCAGUUCGGCGGUGUCGCGCAGGAUAAUGAACGUAUACAUACGCGUGCGCGCGUGUUGGAUGCUUUUUGAUGGAUUUGGCAUCCCUUGGCGCCAGUGAGCGCAUUGAAAUGAUAGCGCGGAGAAGAGAAGCGCCGUGAUAAGGGUUUGAGGGAGGGGGAGGGGUGGUGGUCGUGGUGGGGGUGGUGCGUACUCAGACGUAAGGGUGAUGUGUGUGCAUUUCCGCCAGCACUUCCCUCAUAUCUCUCUCAUGUCUGCCUCCCGCGCUUUUUCUUCCUCUCCAAGUGUGUGGGGGCUGGAUGGAGGCACUGUCUAGGCCGUCGCCCUGGCUGGGUAUUGCGCGGCACCCCAACACACCCCAACGCGGCUUUUUGCUUCCGUCUGUCUGUCUGCUUGUAUGUAUGUAUAUCAUCUGUGCGUUGUUGCACGCUCGGUUCUGGUUUCUGCCGUUGCCGAUUCUCGCCGUCUUCGGCCAUGGAUGCGCUGGUGUGUGGCGGAUGUCCUCAUGGCGCGUUGUUUCUUGUACGCCUGAUCAUGCUUUCCUUUGUGCUCGCGUGUGCUUUUUCUCGUGUUCGCUGUCGUACACGCGUAGCUGCGCGUUCUUUCUUAUUUUGCUCAUGUGCAGAUGCAUGCGCAUGUGCGCGUGGGCCUGUGUCUGUCGGCGGGCCCGCGACCUGUGCUGGCCUUUGUCGGCCCCUCCCUUUCCGAACUUGCACACUAUGUAAUAAGCUUUUCCUUCUCCCCUCUAUGCAUGUGUGUGUGUGCGCUUCUUUUUCACGUUUUCGUUGCGGUUGCACCGCUGCCUCCCCCUCCCCCUCCACACACACACACACACACACACACAUGCCCUACGCCCCACCUCUUCGGUGUUGCUCUCUCUCGCUGACGCACACAG
Molecule: unclassified non-coding RNA, 3895 nt
Filed under: Leishmania donovani
Lineage: Eukaryota; Euglenozoa; Kinetoplastea; Trypanosomatida; Trypanosomatidae
Description: gene:LdHU3.17.1650(CDS-product:hypothetical_prote in_conserved)
Source: RNAcentral